GUAGGUGGCAAGCGUUGUCCGGAAUUAUUGGGCGUAAAGCGCGCGCAGGCGGUUCUUUAAGUCUGAUGUGAAAGCCCACGGCUCAACCGUGGAGGGUCAUUGGAAACUGGAGAACUUGAGUACAGAAGAGGAAAGCGGAAUUCCACGUGUAGCGGUGAAAUGCGUAGAGAUGUGGAGGAACACCAGUGGCGAAGGCGGCUUUCUGGUCUGUAACUGACGCUGAGGCGCGAAAGCGUGGGGAGCAAACAGGAUUAGAUACCCUGGUAGUCCACGCCGUAAACGACGAGUACUAAGUGUUAGGGGGUUUCCCGCCCCUUAGUGCUGCAGCUAACGCAUUAAGCACUCCGCCUGGGGAGUACGGCCGCAAGGCUG
RNAcentral lists this ribosomal RNA (372 nucleotides) under uncultured organism. RNAcentral's name for it is "partial 16S ribosomal RNA". It matches the Rfam family "Bacterial small subunit ribosomal RNA", at positions 527 to 896 of the family's 1533-position model. The record is from RNAcentral.